Molecule: ribosomal RNA, 905 nt
Filed under: Erioscyphella abnormis
Lineage: Eukaryota; Fungi; Ascomycota; Leotiomycetes; Helotiales; Lachnaceae
Description: partial large subunit ribosomal RNA
Rfam family: Eukaryotic large subunit ribosomal RNA
Source: RNAcentral
GCAUAUCAAUAAGCGGAGGAAAAGAAACCAACAGGAUUACCUCAGUAACGGCGAGUGAAGCGGUAACAGCUCAAAUUUGAAAUCUGGCUUUCGGGCCCGAGUUGUAAUUUGUAGAAGAUGCUUUGGGUGUGGCUCCGGUUUAAGUUCCCUUGGAACAGGACGUCAUAGAGGGUGAGAAUCCCGUACGUGACUGGUAGCCUCCGCUCGUGUAAAGCUCUUUCGACGAGUCGAGUUGUUUGGGAAUGCAGCUCAAAAUGGGUGGUAUAUUUCAUCUAAAGCUAAAUAUUGGCCAGAGACCGAUAGCGCACAAGUAGAGUGAUCGAAAGAUGAAAAGCACUUUGGAAAGAGAGUUAAACAGUACGUGAAAUUGUUGAAAGGGAAGCGCUUGCAACCAGACUUGCAGGCUGUUGAUCAUCCGAGGUUCUCCCCGGUGCACUCGGCAGCUUUCAGGCCAGCAUCGGUUUGGGUGGUGGGAUAAAGGCCUUGGGAAUGUGGCUCCCUUCGGGGAGUGUUAUAGCCCAAGGUGCAAUGCCGCCUACCUAGACCGAGGACCGCGCUCCGGCUAGGAUGCUGGCGUAAUGGUUGUAAGCGACCCGUCUUGAAACACGGACCAAGGAGUCUAACAUCUAUGCGAGUGUUUGGGUGUUAAACCCAUGCGCGUAAUUAACGUGAACGGAGGUAAGAACCCUUAAGGGUGCAUUAUCGACCGAUCCUGAUGUCUUCGGAUGGAUUUGAGUAAGAGCAUAGCUGUUGGGACCCGAAAGAUGGUGAACUAUGCCUGAAUAGGGUGAAGCCAGAGGAAACUCUGGUGGAGGCUCGCAGCGGUUCUGACGUGCAAAUCGAUCGUCAAAUUUGGGUAUAGGGGCGAAAGACUAAUCGAACCAUCUAGUAGCUGGGUUCUGCGA